GGUAGGUGUAAUUUGUGUUCGAAUAGUGAAGUGAGACAUGUUGUGACAUUUCUGUUCCUGCUCAAAUUUUUCAUUGAAACUGAAAAGGUUUAUUUAUAGUAUAUCUUUCAGGUGUUUCAAUUUUGAUAUUAGUUAAGUUGUCUUAUCCAAAUUUAUCAAAAUAAAUUAUGAAUUGAUAUUAUAAGUAAAUACUUGGGUAGCUCUUGCCGCGGAUUCUGUCAUGAUUGAGGUAAACACUGUCAAUUUAAAGAAUUGUGGAGGUGUGGGAAACAGUAAUGAUGAAAGUCAUGUUGUCAACGAGUAUAUUUCCAACAACAUCAAGGAUGAAAUAGAGAUUGACGAAAAACCAUUUCAGUUUCCCAUGGAGGAUAUUCCUUGUAAUAUUGCUGUUGGUUCAGUAAAGCAUAUUCAGAAUGAAGAUGUAAACGUUGGUGUUGCCAAUAUUAACUUUAAAGCUGAAGAUGUGAAGAAUAAGAUAGAUAUCAAUGAAGGAAUUCGCAUAAAAGAGGAACUCGAAUUCGUUAAGAAAGAGUUCUUGAAUGAAGAUGCAGUGGACCCACUCCUACCAAAGGUAGAAGCCGACAAUUUCCAUGAAAACGAAUCACUGCAGGAGGAGAAAGAAAAGGAUGGCAAAGAAGAAGGAGAAGAAGCAAAACAAGAUGAUGAUGAUGAUGAUUUCUCUGAUCACAUCAAGGAUGAAAUAGAGAUUGACGAAAAACCAUUUCAGUUUCCCAUGAAGGAUAUUCCUCGUAAUAUUGCUGUUGGUUCAGUAAAGCAUAAUAUUCAGAAUGAAGAUGUAAUUGUUGAUGAUGCCAAUAUUAACUGCAAAGCUGAAAAUGUGAAGAAUAAGAUAGAUAUCAAUGAAGGAAUUCGCAUAAAAGAGGAACUCGCAUUCGUCAAGAAAGAGUUCUUGAAUGAAGAUGCAGUGGACCCACUCCUACCAAAGUUGGCCAUGUGGCAGUUGUAAGUCUAUGCAGAUUGGAAGAUUUAGCCUCAGAUGUUGGACAGUCCUUGGAAGCUCAAUCGUCCAAUCAAGAUUACGAACCAUUAGUUGAAGGAGAAUCUAGUAACAGUUCAGAAGGAAGGCUGCAGUUGAGCUGUUUGAGAAAGUAUCGCAUCAAUAGAUCAGAGAGAGGAGGAGAUGCUGCCACCAUUCAAAAGUCCAAGCACAGGAACAUCAAAGCCUAUCAUUGCAG
Molecule: unclassified non-coding RNA, 1196 nt
Filed under: Nilaparvata lugens (brown planthopper)
Lineage: Eukaryota; Metazoa; Arthropoda; Insecta; Hemiptera; Delphacidae
Description: zinc finger protein 271-like, transcript variant X4
Source: RNAcentral